RNAcentral lists this unclassified non-coding RNA (1839 nucleotides) under Leishmania donovani. Its description in RNAcentral is "gene:LdHU3.33.0170(CDS-product:Ankyrin_repeats_(3 _copies)/Ankyrin_repeat_putative)". The record is from RNAcentral. Lineage: Eukaryota; Euglenozoa; Kinetoplastea; Trypanosomatida; Trypanosomatidae.
CUGCCGUGCCCUUCCCUGAUCACUGCUGCUGCAUACUCCCUCUCUUUCUCUGUCACAGAGCAACUGGAGAUCUCGCGCGCUUUACAUCGUUUUGAAACAAUACUCGUUGGCGCGCAUCCAGGCGAAGGGAGACGAAGGUAGCCCUCGACGCCUCUUUUUCCCUUCGAACAUCGAUUACAACUAUAUGUGCACGCGUGCUGAAACGGUAUCCGUGUUACGUCCUUCGUUCUGCUCUUCCUAGCCCCCUUGUGCGACGUAGGAGGAUGGCGAAUGCGGUGGAGCCAUCUGCUGGGGCCCCGGCACCCGUCUACAAGCUCCCUCAGCGCGAUCUGUUUGACUUGGUGGCGACAAACGAUGUCGCCUCUUUGCUGAUUCUCGUGCGCGGCGACAACCCCUUCGACGUGAGCCCUGGCAUGGAGCUCAUCCGAUACAAAAUGAGCGUGCGGCGCUUCGCUAAUAUGGCGUGCGCCGAGAAUGCAUACGUGGUGUCAAAUGCGGUCCCACAGGUCGAAACUGCGCAAAUCCCGCGCAUACGCGAUGCGAGCGGCAACAGCGCCACUCACGUGGCCGCUAGCCUUGGUUUCUCUUGCAUGGUAGAUAUUUUGGUCACUGAGUGUGGCUGCGCCGUGGACGAGUACAAUGCAAGUGGUCUCACGCCGUUGCACCUGGCAGCGCUGCACGGCCACGUCGACUCUGCUCGCUUGCUUCGCGACCUAGGCGCCGAUCCUCUGAAUCCCACUUACUGCAACCCGCCCUCCUCAGCCGGGCGCAAUCGUGGCUUCUGUGGUCGCACCACACUGUUUCUCGCCCACUUGAAGCAGCAAGCGGCUGUUGUAGCGCUUCUCCUUCCCCUCUACCACGAGUUUAUCGCCACCACGUUUCGUGGCAAAACAGCGACAGAGGUCUGGAAGGCAGCUGCAACGGGGCAGGACGUGAAGUCUCUGUCGCUGCUUCUGGACGUUUUGGAGUGCCGUGGCACGGUGAUUGGCGCCCUUCCUGUUUCCAUCGACUUCGACGUGGAGGAUGCGCUGUGGGAGGUGCUGCCGGCAGUGCUGGAGACGAUUCUACCAUCAAGUCGCCAAAUGACGCUCUGCCAGUUUUUCUUGUUCGAGCGCCUUGUCCACCUCGGCUACGUUGAUGAAACCACUGUCGUAGGUUCUUCGGACACCGUACUUGAGCGUGUUCUGAGCACAGCGCAUGUGCGAGCGUGGCGUGCGCUGAUAGAGCACGGGCUUGUACAGCCUCACAAGUGCAAUCUCGAUGCGGUGCACAGCAGCGAGCGCGGUGACGCAAGCGAAGCGGAGCUCCGCGCCCUGAUUGAGGAAGCGAAGGCAUACUUUAGCUACCAAGUCGCGAAGAAGUCCUAUGCUGAGAAGGGGGACAGCCACAGACGACGGAGUACCUUGUUGAAUCGCCGAAGCGUGUGGAAGCAGUUGCAAAACGAUCUCAAGCAACUAUCGCUGUCCCCUGCGCGGUGCCCUCAAUCGUAGGUGCCCCCAGCAUCUUCGCGUGUCGACGCCUUGCUCUCUCGUAUGCGGACGUGUGUGAUUCAGCCGGGCUAUCGAUCCCUACGUGGUAACGUGUGCCUGCCUCUUUGCAGCUGAGGUCUUCUUUGCCUCUCUCUGAUUUGAUGUAGGAUUUCCGGACGUUAUCAUGUACACUAUGAGUCCUGCAAGUAGGCAGUCGAGAAGAACAACAGCGUAAAAUGGACCUCUCCUCCGAAGUAGACACCGUCUCAGGUGCGGCGACGGCUUCCGAUGUAUUACCAUGUUUUUGCCUUCUCUCUGUGGUAGUGGUCCCAUUGGCUCAUCUACCCACAGCGUAGGCAUGCAGAUUCCG